GAUUAUAAUGUCAAAGACAGCUGAGCUGGGAUUUUAUACAUUACUGUUAGAAGUUCCACCUAACAAAAAUCCAUACCAGAUUCUAUGUAACCUAAAAUAAGGAAGAGACUUGCAUUUGAAUGGUCUUUCCCACAUAUAAGCUAAAAAGGACUUCGUUUAGUGCGAUCGUCCAAUGAUAAAUAAAGUCCUGCUGUUGAAUCGCCUUGGAGCACUGCCACAGAGGCUCCCCCUGACCAAGCAGGAAACAACUCCAUCAUGGAUCAACCUCGACACUGCUCAGCAGACUGCCUGCUCAGCCCCCCAAGGUCUCUGUCCUCAGGGUUCCCAAUGGGAAUAUUGUAUGCAACAUCACAGCCACAGCUCAAG
Molecule: long non-coding RNA, 366 nt
Filed under: Equus caballus (horse)
Lineage: Eukaryota; Metazoa; Chordata; Mammalia; Perissodactyla; Equidae
Description: lncRNA (ENSECAG00000051353.1)
Source: RNAcentral